Molecule: ribosomal RNA, 1068 nt
Filed under: Triticum aestivum (bread wheat)
Lineage: Eukaryota; Viridiplantae; Streptophyta; Magnoliopsida; Poales; Poaceae
Description: partial small subunit ribosomal RNA
Source: RNAcentral
AUGGCCUCGCUGCCAAUCCCCGACGAGCUAUCGGUGGAGAUAUUCCUCCGCAUUCCCAACCCAGCCGACCUUCUCCGCGCCUCCGCCGCCUGCGUCUCCUUCCGCCGCCUCAUUGCCGACCGCUCCUUCCUCCGGCAGUACCGCAAGCUCCACGCUCCGCCUCUUCUCGGCCUCCUCGACCACGAACGCAAAGUCUUCUACCCCGCGGCCCCGCCUCACCCCUCCGCGCCGGCAGCCGGCGCCGCGGCCCUAGCUGCCGACUUCUCCUUCUCCUUCCUCCCGGCCCCCACCACCGAUUGGCGCGUCCAGGACGUCCGCAGCGGCCGCGUCCUCCUCGGCAGAGCCCCCCAGCACGGCAUCGAUAAUAGGCACAGACUGGUCUUCCCGGAGCUGGUGGUGUGCGACCCCUUGUACCGACGGUACCUCAUGCUUCCCCCAAUCCCUGCCCACCUAGCCGCUACGGUGAAGCGUUCACUCUGGAUAAAACUGCAUCGUUACUGCGAGACCUUCCUCGCUCCCCCUAGCGACAUCGACGAAGAGACGUCUUUCAGCGUGGUCUGGAUGGCACAGUACAAUGCUAAGCUGUUCGCCUUUGUCUUCUCUUCCAGCACAGGACAAUGGCGAGCCAUUUCGUCCCUGAGCUGGAGUGAUUUAUUACCUGGCUUGCUAUCGUUGACAGGGUUGGCUCUGUUCUCCGGGCGGCAAUAGGCCUAUGGGCUCUUCUAUUGGGUGACAGAUUGGAGGGAAAAGUUUCUGGUGCUUGACUCCUGGAGGAUGAAGUUCUCCAUUGCUGAACCCCCACCUGAGAUGAGAUAUUUACACGGUGUGGAUAUAGCCAUUUUGGAGGCAGGGGAAGGCAGGUCCAGGAUGUUUGUGCGUACCAGAGGCACAAAUUACCUCAGCUAUACCACUAGGCGAAACAAAUUGGGGAGUUCCAUCCAGUGGCAGUUGGAGAGGACAAUCUCACUGGAUUCUGGGCAUGUGUUGAUCGGUUCAACAGGGAGGCACUUAAAGCUCAUCGCUCGAUCGAGCCUUUUUCUCGCUGGAUGCCAGGACAUUCCAGCUUGA